RNAcentral lists this unclassified non-coding RNA (21 nucleotides) under Mus musculus (house mouse). RNAcentral's name for it is "oocyte_clustered_small_RNA13379". The record is from RNAcentral. Lineage: Eukaryota; Metazoa; Chordata; Mammalia; Rodentia; Muridae.
UCAAGGUAGCCGUGUGUGACA